UGAGUAACCUGCCCUUGACUCUGGGAUAACCUCCGGAAACGGAAGCUAAUACCGGAUAUGACGCACGGAGGCAUCUCCUGUGCGUGGAAAGAAUUUCGGUCAAGGAUGGACUCGCGGCCUAUCAGGUAGUUGGUGAGGUAACGGCCCACCAAGCCUACGACGGGUAGCCGGCCUGAGAGGGUGACCGGCCACACUGGGACUGAGACACGGCCCAGACUCCUACGGGAGGCAGCAGUGGGGAAUAUUGCACAAUGGGCGCAAGCCUGAUGCAGCAACGCCGCGUGAGGGACGACGGCCUUCGGGUUGUAAACCUCUUUUAGUAGGGAAGAAGCGAAAGUGACGGUACCUGCAGAAAAAGCACCGGCUAACUACGUGCCAGCAGCCGCGGUAAUACGUAGGGUGCGAGCGUUGUCCGGAAUUAUUGGGCGUAAAGAGCUCGUAGGCGGUCUGUCGCGUCUGCUGUGAAAUCCCGAGGCUCAACCUCGGGCCUGCAGUGGGUACGGGCAGACUAGAGUGCGGUAGGGGAGAAUGGAAUUCCUGGUGUAGCGGUGGAAUGCGCAGAUAUCAGGAGGAACACCGAUGGCGAA
RNAcentral lists this ribosomal RNA (587 nucleotides) under Cryocola sp. Its description in RNAcentral is "bacterial SSU rRNA". It matches the Rfam family "Bacterial small subunit ribosomal RNA", at positions 118 to 719 of the family's 1533-position model. The record is from RNAcentral. Lineage: Bacteria; Bacillati; Actinomycetota; Actinomycetes; Micrococcales; Microbacteriaceae.